RNAcentral lists this ribosomal RNA (523 nucleotides) under uncultured fungus. RNAcentral describes it as "eukaryotic LSU rRNA". The stretch from base 78 to 231 matches the Rfam family "5.8S ribosomal RNA". Lineage: Eukaryota; Fungi. The record is from RNAcentral.
CCCUUCAUAAAUAUCAACCUAUAUCUUUAACAACAUUCGUCUGAUAACAUAUUAUGAAUAUACUUAAUUCAAAAUAUAACUUUCAACAACGGAUCUCUUGGCUCUCGCAUCGAUGAAGAACGCAGCGAAAUGCGAUACGUAAUGUGAAUYGCAGAAUUCAGUGAAUCAUCGAAUCUUUGAACGCAUAUUGCGCUCUUUGGUAUUCCGAAGAGCAUGCUUGUUUGAGUAUCAGUAAACACCUCAACCUCUCUUUUUUGAUAAAAAAAAGGGAGGGUGGACUUGAGCUAUCCCAACGACCUUCACCGGUAGGCGGGCGGCUUGAAAUGCAGGUGCAGCUGGACUUUUAUCUGAGCUAAAAGCAUAUCUAUUUAGUCCUCGUCAAACAGGAUUAUUACUUUUGCUGCAGCUAACAUAAAGGAUAAUUGUCCUAUUUGCUGACUGAUGCAGGAUUUUACGACACUUUAUGUGUUGUUCAACUCGAUCUCAAAUCAAGUAAGACUACCCGCUGAACUUAAGCAUAUCA